Non-coding RNA from Phoenix dactylifera (date palm), 1394 nucleotides. Lineage: Eukaryota; Viridiplantae; Streptophyta; Magnoliopsida; Arecales; Arecaceae. The record is from RefSeq and is a predicted model, not a curated record.
GCCAUUUGGGGGACUUAGGGACUAGGGUUUGUGACAAGCGCCGCCCGAGCUCUCUACUCUCUCGUCUCCCCUCUUCUCCCCUCCGACUUUGCCCUCUCCUCCCCAGCUCCCCCUUGCCGACUACUUCUGCCUCCCCGUCAACGGCGAGUCGGCGACCACGACUACAUCGUGCCCCUGAUCGGCCGAUCCCACUCUCACCUAGGAUGAGAUCAUCGUGCAUACAUCACCCUGUCGAGGCCCCCGCGGCCACAUCGACACCCCCCUCCUUCUUCCUCCUCGGCUAGGAUUUUUAGAACCCACAACUAGUGCCACAUGAGAGAGUAGCUGCAGCUUCUUCCCGGAGCAAGAUCUUGAGGACUAAGAUGGCAUGAAAUAUAUUUGGAAGAGUGAUUGAAGCAAGUCUGAUUUUUCUUUAUUCUGGAUUAGAGUUUCUUAAGUCUGUUAUAAGACCUCGAAUGUUAUUAAAAUUUGUGAGAUAUUAAAGUUUGAAUUUUAGUUAUUUAAAUUUUGGUUCUAUAUAAUUAAUUGUUUAUUUUGCUGCUUGCUUUAUAAUAUCGUGUUGAGAUGCCUUGCACGCUAGUAGGAAAGUCUCAAUGAAUAUGCAGCUAUGUAGCGACCCUGAUCGCAAUCUUAGGUUAGGGCAUAGCACUAACAUUUGAGUAUCUUGCGAUAUUAAAUUGAUAUUUAUGAGUAAAAUAUUUAAAAUUCCAACAAGGUUGGUAAGUUAUUGUUUACAAGAAUCAAAGACAUAUUUUUAUAUGAACAAAAGCAUAAUGUAGUAGAUGUCUUGCAUACAAUCAUGAUGUGUCCAUAAUUAUAUUCUUUAACCCUUCAGUGAAUCACCGAACAAGCAGGUGUGGUGCUUUCCCUUGAUCCAAACCAAUAGAGGUAGUCAUGGAGACAUGUGCCUAAGUUACUCUUUUAAACUAUUCAAAAUUGCAAACAGGAAAGAAAAAAAAAAUCAAUCUUGCAACUUUAUGUGGCUAGGGCGACUGGAAUGGUGCAGGAGCCAGGAUGUCAUGCCAACUUCAGGCAGCCCUGCAUAUCUGUUCUUCUCAAGCCUAACAUGCUAGUCCAGAGUUCCACCUCUUUGAUAAUUCUGAAUUCUUGAAAAUUUACAUUAAAUUUAUGAAUUACUUAUGGAGUACUAAGAGCAUGCAAGAAGAUGGUUAUGAAGUAAUAAAGAAGGUAAUUCUCAAUGUCUCACUCUGGCACAAGGAGCAUAUCAGAGCAUAUGGAGAAGGAAAUGAGCGAAGGUUGACAGGGAAGCAUGAGACAGCCGACAUAAACACCUUCCCUUCUGUAUGUGUUUGAACACUCGCAUGUAAACUUACUGCUAGGAAUACAUCUAUUUUGCUGUAUACUUCUUUUAAGUUGACAAUGUUUCACUCAAC